RNAcentral lists this ribosomal RNA (493 nucleotides) under uncultured bacterium. RNAcentral describes it as "partial 16S ribosomal RNA". It matches the Rfam family "Bacterial small subunit ribosomal RNA", at positions 28 to 506 of the family's 1533-position model. The record is from RNAcentral.
GACGAACGCUGGCGGCGUGCUUUAGGCAUGCCAGUCGAACGCGAAAGCCCCUUCGGGGGUGAGUAGAGUGGCGAACGGGUGAGUAACACGUGGGUAACCUGCCCCUCGCAGGGGGAUAACCGGGGGAAAUCCCGGCUAAUACCCCGUACGCUUGCUGGGGCGCAUGCUCCGGCAAGGAAAGGUAGCUUCGGCCAUCCGGCGAGGGAGGGGCCCGCGGCCCAUUAGCUAGUUGGUGGGGUAACGGCCCACCAAGGCGACGAUGGGUAGCUGGCCUGAGAGGGUGGUCAGCCACCCUGGGACUGAGACACGGCCCAGACUCCUACGGGAGGCAGCAGCCAGGAAUCUUGCGCAAUGGGCGAAAGCCUGACGCAGCAACGCCGCGUGGGCGAUGAAGGCCUUCGGGUCGGAAAGCCCUGUUGUCGGGGACGAAGGGCGAAGGGUUAAUAGCCCCUAGCCUGACGGUACCCGACGAGGAAGCCCCGGCUAACUACGU